RNAcentral lists this ribosomal RNA (253 nucleotides) under uncultured bacterium. Its description in RNAcentral is "partial 16S ribosomal RNA". It matches the Rfam family "Bacterial small subunit ribosomal RNA", at positions 524 to 776 of the family's 1533-position model. The record is from RNAcentral.
GACGAAGGACCCAAGCGUUGUCCGGAUUUAUUGGGUUUAAAGGGUGCGUAGGUGGCCCUGUAAGUCAGUGGUGAAAUAUCUCAGCUUAACUGAGAGGGUGCCAUUGAUACUGCAGGGCUUGAGUACAGAUGAGGUAGGCGGAAUUGACGGUGUAGCGGUGAAAUGCAUAGAUAUCGUCAAGAACACCGAUAGCGAAGGCAGCUUACCAAGCUGUAACUGACACUGAGGCACGAAAGUGUGGGGAUCAAACAGG